Anastrepha ludens (Mexican fruit fly) is the source of this 1435-nucleotide long non-coding RNA. RefSeq lists it as uncharacterized. NCBI's taxonomy places the organism in Eukaryota, Metazoa, Arthropoda, Insecta, Diptera, Tephritidae. The transcript is spliced from 3 exons. The record is from RefSeq and is a predicted model, not a curated record.
GCUCAUAUAAUAUGUUCACACACGUCUUUCAACUUAUCAUACAUACAUAUCUGUGAACGUCAAAAUACUUAAUCAAUAUUGAUUCUUUAGGGACACUCACUAAAUAAGCUUAAUGCACGAUAAUGUGACAGAGGCGAUCUCAUACGAAAUUUACAUAUCUGUUUAGCUACUCUUGAUUGUUGGCAUCAAAAACAAUUGCUUGUUUUCUGCUUUCACAUUCCAAUGUUUAUGCAGCUACUUCGCAAAUAGCCCGCGAUAUAUCGAGUAAUAUCGGAGCUUAUGAUGUAAAUACAGAAAUACCAAAUGGGCUCAUGCUGUAUAUACUCGUAUUAUGAUAAAUAACACUGUGGAACAAAUUCAGGUUAGCAAAAAUUAGGUCCAUUCUGAGAGUGGCGGGUGAAAAUAGAGGCGAAAUUAGAAGACCCGCAUCGCGCCGUUUUUUUAUGUUAGUUCGAAUUUUUUUUAAUCGGCCUUAUCACGCACUCCAUCGUAUACUGUUUUUCGGAGAAGUUACUACAAAAGCAUUCAUGCAUUUCGAACAACUCCGAACGUAAAUUCGAAAAUCGGAGAAUAGCAUUCACUGAGCACACUCUAAAUGUCAAAUUGUCACAUUUCCCACAAUUUUUCUACGACAAGUUUUUGUAAGCGGAAAAUCCACGAAAAAUUGAAAUAAAUUAAAAUAAAGUGAAAAAAUUAUAAAAAUGUCCAAAAUAACAACAAGGCAACAGUAUGCGGCUUUGCUGGAGUUGCUGCAAGAAAAGCCCUCUAUGGCACACGGCUUUUCAAAAUGCUCUAAGGAAGAAGCGACUGAGUUUUGGAAAAAGGUGGACAGAAAGACAUCACUAGCUGGAAAAAGGUAUGGCUAGACUGGAAGGCAUAUAUUAAAAGGAAGCUAGCGGAAAACAAAAUAUGUAGAACAGAGGGCUACUGGUGGCGGUCGAAACAGGCAGCACCAUUUCAAUGAAAUGGAGGAAGCUGUCAUCCGAUUGACUGCACUAGAGACUACCACGAAUGGAAUUGAAAACACUGUGAGUGUUGGGCUACCUGUUGCAGGCGAUUUUGAAGCUGAGAUCGGGGCUGACGUGUCAAUGACGUCAUCGAGCCGCAGUCCAGCACUUCCGAGACGUAUUUCCUCUGCGCGCAAACCAACUGAUACAAGUACAGCAGAAGUACUUCAAGACCAUUUUUUGCUUCAAAAGGAAUUUCAGGAAAAGACCAUAGCACACUAUUCAAUACAGGAACAAAAGCUGGAAGAUAUUUGUUCCGGUAUACGACGAUUAUACCUAGCAAUGGAAAAGCACUACGACCUGAAGAAUGCAGAAGUGGAAGAAACCCAUAGACACAACCAAUCCAUGGAAGAUUUGAUCAAUGCUAAAAAUUCAAUAAAAAACAAAUGUUAUUAGUUGGGCAAAAAAGCUUAAAUGCGAUUUCCAAA